RNAcentral lists this long non-coding RNA (280 nucleotides) under Helianthus annuus (common sunflower). RNAcentral's name for it is "sRNA HanXRQr2_Chr15g0673741". The record is from RNAcentral. Lineage: Eukaryota; Viridiplantae; Streptophyta; Magnoliopsida; Asterales; Asteraceae.
AUGUGUCGCACGUUGUGGUGUAAAGUUGUAAAAGUAACUUAAACAAAAGGAGGUUUCAAGUUAUUAAGUAGAAAAGGUUGGAGGUUUAAAGUUGUCAAUAACCAAAAGUUAGAAGUAAAUGUGUAACUUACUUAUAGAUGACGGUUAAUAGUGUUUCAUGUCAAAGAGGGUUAAUAGUGAAUGUUUUCAAAAGUUUGAGGGUUAAUGAAUGUUGUCAAAAGUUGAGGAAAUUAUCAGAAGUUGAGGGUUAAUAUGUGAAUGUGUCAAAAUUUAAGGGUUA